GACGAACGCUGGCGGCGUGCUUAACACAUGCAAGUCGAACGGAAAGGCCUGCUUUCCCUUGUGGAUUGCGGGUACUCGAGUGGCGAACGGGGGAGUAACACGUGAGUUAUCUGCCCCCAACUUGGGUAUAAGCCUGGGAAACUGGGUCUAAUUACCGAUAGGACUGCAGGGUGGUGCCUGUGGUGGAAAACGAUUUUCUAGUGUUUGGGGAUGAGUCGGCGGCCUUUCAGCUUGUUGGUGGGGUAAUGGCGUACCAAGGCGGCGAGGGGUAGCCGGCCUGGGAGGGUGGACGGCCACAUUGGGACUGGGACCCGGCCCAGACUCCUACGGGAAGCAGCAGUGGGGAAUAUAGCACAAUGGGCGGAAGCCUGAUGCAGCGACGCCGCGUGGGGGAUGACGGCCUUCGGGUUGUAAACUCCUUGCGACCGAGAGGAAGCCACCUGGUUGGAAGGGUGGUGACGGUAGUGGUAGAAGAAGCACCGGCUAACUACGUG
Molecule: ribosomal RNA, 494 nt
Filed under: uncultured bacterium
Lineage: Bacteria
Description: partial 16S ribosomal RNA
Rfam family: Bacterial small subunit ribosomal RNA
Source: RNAcentral